This 311-nucleotide ribosomal RNA is filed under the name uncultured eukaryote. RNAcentral describes it as "partial 18S ribosomal RNA". It matches the Rfam family "Eukaryotic small subunit ribosomal RNA", at positions 1470 to 1796 of the family's 1831-position model. The record is from RNAcentral.
CCCUUAGAUGUCCUGGGCCGCACGCGUGCUACACUGAUGCAUACAGCGAGUACUCCCAGCUCCGAGAGGCUGCUGGUAAUCAGCAAUAUGCAUCGUGAUGGGGAUAGAUCUUUGGAAUUAUAGAUCUUGAACGAGGAAUUCCUAGUAAUCGCAGGUCAUCACCCUGCGUUGACUAAGUCCCUGCCCUUUGUACACACCGCCCGUCGCUCCUACCGAUUUCGAGUGAUCCGGUGAAUCAUUCGGACCGCGGCCCCUAGGCAUGCGGAAAGUCUAGUAAACCAUAUCACUUAGAGGAAGGAGAAGUCGGAACA